GAUGAACGCUGGCGGCGUGCUUAAUACAUGCAAGUCGAACGGAUGAAGGAAGAAAGCUUGCUUUCUUCCCGAUUCAGUGGCGAACGGGUGAGUAAUACGUAGGCAACCUGCCCCAAAGCGGGGGAUAGCAGUUGGAAACGACUAUUAAUACCGCAUAGGUAAUAGGGAGGCAUCUCCUUAUUAUUAAAGGUGCGUUUGCACCGCUGUGGGAUGGGCUUACGCUGUAUUAGCUAGUUGGUGAGGUAACGGCCCACCAAGGCGAUGAUACAUAGCCGGUCUGAGAGGAUGAACGGCCACAUUGGGACUGAGACACGGCCCAGACUCC
This 325-nucleotide ribosomal RNA is filed under the name uncultured Erysipelotrichaceae bacterium. RNAcentral's name for it is "bacterial SSU rRNA". It matches the Rfam family "Bacterial small subunit ribosomal RNA", at positions 28 to 339 of the family's 1533-position model. The record is from RNAcentral. Lineage: Bacteria; Bacillati; Bacillota; Erysipelotrichia; Erysipelotrichales; Erysipelotrichaceae.